Ostrea edulis (European flat oyster) is the source of this 5397-nucleotide RNA transcript. RefSeq lists it as uncharacterized. The record is from RefSeq and is a predicted model, not a curated record. The transcript has 5 exons. Lineage: Eukaryota; Metazoa; Mollusca; Bivalvia; Ostreida; Ostreidae.
AAUGAUCCGCUAAUGGAGGAUCUGAGAGCAAACAAGACUUCACUACUUUCGGAAGUUGUUUAAUCGAACUUUUUGUUUGGAGUUUUAAAAAGUAUACCUAAGUAUUUAAACAGAUCGAUAAUCAUGUUUCACAGUUACAAAUUUUGCUCCCAUUACCUACACCGAUUUCAAGAUCCCAGUUAGCAGUCAUUGUACACAGCAAUGACCAGUAUGCUUAACACGACAAACAAUGCCAUAUUACCAACAUACUGUAAUGAUUCCGGAUAUUUGAGGUACGACCAUGCGGAGUUCUCAAUUAGUCACUUUACAUCACGUGAUCUUAUUUGUGUAUAAAUACCGAGAUUCCGCAUUCGUCCAUGUCAUUUGUUGCUAGAGUUCAGCAGAGAAAGGAAGAAGAAAACAGUAUAAUGUUUUGGUUGUGUCACGUUUGAAUGGAAUUGAUGACCGGAAGAUGCCGGAGAAACUUCGAUAAGAACUGGUUACUGUUGUCUUCGGCUCAGGUGCGCUGCGGUGAAUGGUCAUGCCUCACAACAGACAAAGUUUCGACGACAAAUUACUACAACAGGGAACCUGACCAUUUGGAAUCCGCCAUUGUCUUCUCAUGUCGUGGCUGAUUUGAUAUCCUGCUUUAAUGCGUGCCACCAUUCCAUUCAGUGUUUCUCGGUGUUUUUCGAUGAAGAUAGUUCCAACUGUUCUAUGUUUAGCGGGACCAGUGAAGUGGACGGAUUUGUUGAUAACCAGCAAUAUUUCAUCGUUGUCAACAAAGUAUUCCCUGCGGAAUUUAUUGACCAUGCAAAUCGUCUGUGCUCUGGAAACAAUUCAGGAUAUUUCUUUGAUGCUGCUGUCCCAAUUUGUUACAAAAUCAGCACCAUACCAAGAACGAAAAAGGAAGCUGUUGAUUUCUGUCAGGAAUCAGGAAAUCACCUACUGAGAAUAAAAACAGACAAAAAGCAAAAAUUUGUAGAGGAUUUGAACUUAGAUCAUGAUUCAAAAUACCGCAUUGAUGGUGAGAAAAUCGGCGCCGAAUGGAAAUACUCUAACGGUGAACGCAUUACAAAGUUUUAUUGGUAUCCCGGAGAACAACAGGAAGAUAAAAAGUCUAUAGGUUUGAAAUAUAAUUACAAAGGAAAAUAGGAUAAUAUACAUUCUGGUUAUCUGCAUAGAUGUGUAUGUGAAAAAGACAUCGAAUGAUGAAAAAACAAGUACUGUUUUGUGUUUUUCAUGGUUAGAAUAUAUUACGCGUAUGUAUUAAAGAUACGUCGGAUAUGGGAGGUACACUCUUUUGAGAGAGAGAUUUUGAUUAAUACCUGCUAAUUCAUGUACUUGUUCAUCAAGUUGUUGUGUAAUCUGUCGAAUGGUUGAUAUAAUUUUCGAAUUGAUGAUACCAUGGAUUCAUUAGUAAAUUCAACACCUGCUCUGCUUGCAAUAACGAUGUCUUCAAGUAUAUCAAUGAAUGCAGUGAAAAGAAUUACAAUGUACAUACACGCAAUUGAAUUAAUGCGAAAGGGAGAGAGAGCGAAAAUCGCAAUUAUUGAUAUUAACCAUUCGUUGUAGGGCUCACGGCGGGUGUGACCGGUUAUCAGAAGACGCAUCCAUUCAUUUGAUAAUAUCUACAUUUCCAGUGGAUUUUUUUUUUACUAAUUGUAACGGUAGCAAUUUCCUCAUGAACGCUCUUUAGUAAUAAUCAAUGUGCAUAUGGAUCUUGAUAAAUAUAGUAAAUUCCUUUUUGAUGGUUGGAAAUUCAAACAGAAAUGAUAGGAUGAUCUAGAUAUGAUUUGAAAAAAUUGAAAAUACAUGGAACGCUUUCAGUCAUACAGAGACAUUACAAGCUGUAUGUAAGGUGCCAAAAAUGUUAAACGUAUAUGCUGCCAACUGUGUUUUUACGGUCAUAUCCGAAUGAAACGUCACUUGAUUCCACUUAUACUGACGCUUGUGGGAUAAAAUCCUAUAUGUUGAAUGUUUGAGAUUUGACUUGGCACUGGGAUCGCGAAUCGAGCCCGGGACCUCUCAUUUGUGGCGUCGCUGGUGUAGUGGUUAAGCCGUCAGACUCUCGACCGAAAGGUCGUAGGUUCGAGUCCUGACCGCAGCAAGGCCGACGUUGUGUCCUUGGGAAAGGCACUUUACAUGAAUUUCCUCACUUCACCCAAGUGUAAAAGGGGUAGCUGGCUAUAUACAGUGAAAGAUAUUGUUAGAAUGUUAGUGCUCUAGCGCUUGUAACGGCAGCUUACAAUGUAUGCUUCCUAGGAGGCUGAGAAAGUUCUAGAUUGAUAUAAGGUCUGCCGGGGUAAUAAUACAUUGUAAAGCGCUUUGAGUAGCAUACGCUGGAAGAAGCGCUAUAUUAAAAAAAACAACAAUCAAUCAAACCAAUCAUUUGCGAAGCGAGAGUUUUAACCACUAGACUACCGGUUUUGUUUGGUUGAGUAUAUCGAAUUAGAAAAUAAAUAGGGUUUUAUAACAUUUGAAAUGAAGAUAGAGAAUUUAGUUUUUGAAAAUUUAAAGACUUUUGACGUACAUUGUGUUUAUACUUGUUUUGAUGUACACUGUGAAUAAGUAUACUUCUUUUGAGGUACACUGUAAAUAUACUUCUUUUGAGGUACUCUGUAAAUAUACUUCUUUUGAGUUACACUGUAAAUAUACUUCUUUUGAGGUACUCUGUUAAUAUACUUCUUUUGAGUUACACUUUAAAUAUACAUCUUUUGAGGUACACUGUAAAUAUACAUCUUUUUGAGGUACACUGUAAAUAUACAUCUUUUGAGGUACACUGUAAAUAUACUUCUUUUGAUGUACACUGUGCAUAAGUAUACUUCUUUUGAGUUACACUGUAAAUAUACUUCUUUUGAGGUACACUGUAAAUAUACAUUUUUUUAGGUACACUGUAAUAAUACUUCUUUCAAUGUCCUUUGUUUUUACGUUUGUGUCAUUCCAAAUGUAAUAAAGAAAAGGGAGAAACAUUUUGGCUGGACCGGGAAUCGAAACCGGGACCCCUGUAUUACUCGUCAGAUGCUCCAACCACUGGACUUCCCAGGCCGAUAUCCACAGUCCAUAUAACCCCAAUUAUUACAUUUUCCUCCCUCCUUAAAUUGUAUUCGCCCUCGAAGACACAACGUAAAUUCCUUUUGCCCCUGGUAGGAAUUUCACCUGGGGUGGUCAUGACAUCAAAUGUAAAGAAAAGAAAGGAGAGAAGUUUGGUUGGACCGGGAAUUGAACCCAGAACCUUUGCAUUACUAGUCCGAUGCUCUAAUCACUGAACUACCUAGGCCGUUAGCCAUUGUCCAUAUAGCCCUAACUGCUACACACGAAAUUCUAAGAUCAAUAAAAAUAAAAUAAGUUGACAUAGAGUAGCUUCUACUUACGAAACCACCCAUUGAGUUUGUGAAGGGAGGAACUCUCUCUCUCUCUCUCUCUCUCUCUCUCUCUCUCUCUCUCUCUCUCUCUCUUCCACCAGAUUAAUUAACUUACGUAAUUUGAAUCGCCAGAACUUUCAUUCAGACAAAAAAGAGAAAGGAACACACAUAUUAGUAAUAUAUUCGUGAACAUUGUGAGGUGUUUCGUCCCCUGGCUCCCUACACCGGCACGCAGUUUAUGUGGCUGUAAAUGGUAGUCAGAUAAAAAAAAAAAAGGGGGGGGGGUGUCUCGGAGUCUCUACCAUCGUUUUGCCAUGUAUAAACUUGAAAUCUGAAGACUCCAGUCCUGUCUUAUUUUCCUGGCUUGGAUUUCUCUAAAAAAAAAAUAAUUCAAACUUAUAUCGCAUUUUCUUCUAUUUGAGCAGUCAAAAUUUGAGUAAAAUGUCAGACAAGUUUUGACAGAAGUUCUUUUCGAGAAAUCCAGUCGUGACUUCCCUCUUCAUUUGCUUAAUAUGCCCAAACAAGAUCAGAAAUAUGUUGUUAAAAUUUUAAUGAUACAGACACAAACACUUAAUUAAAGAUAAGACAGAAACGAGGUCUUGCAUAAUACAAAAAAAAAUAAAAAAAAAAAUACUACUGUAUAAACAAGCUUAGACAUUGAGAAUCAGAUGAUACAUGAACAUGCUUAAGAUGAUACAGAAACAAGACCUUGGAAAAUACAAAAGGAAGUUGAAGGUUAGAUAUAAUUAAACAGCUCUAAGAUAAUACGUAUUUUAAAUACUUUUCACAAUGAAUAUCCUUCUUAUAUUUUAGACAAUUUUUUUUUUUUUUACAAAAUCUCACAAGAACAACAAGAUCUAGUCAACGUGUUCUGCUUUCAGUCAGACAUAUUUUCUUACAAUAGUGUUAACGACUGGAACUCAUUUCCACCAGCUGAAAUUAAUUCCAUCAAUAGCAAGUGUCAAUUCAAACACUUUUGGACAAAUUCCUGGUCUAUGACUAAUAUGCUAUCACAUAUGGCAAGCCCUUUUACUAUUUAUUCGAAAAAUAAGAUAUCUCUUUAAAUUAAAGAGAUAUCUCUUAUUUUAAAGAGAUAUCUGUAAAAUGGGAGAUAUCUCUUAAGAUUAAAAGAUAUAUCUCUAAAUAAGAGAUAUCUCUUUCUCUUAGAGAGAUAUCUCUUUCACUUAGAGAGAUAUCUCUUUUACUUUUAGAGAUAUCUCUUACAACUUAAAGAGAUAUCUCUUACACUUAAAGAUAUAUCUCUUUCACUUAAAGAGAUAUCUCUUUCACUUUAAGAGAUAUCUCUUUCACUUAGAUAUCUCUUAUACUUUGAGAGAUAUCUCCUUCACUUAAAGAUAUAUCUCUCUAAGAAUUCCUAGAGAUAUAUCUCUCAAAGUAUAAAAGAUAUUUCUCUAAUCGUUGAAAAAGAGAUAUAUCUCAAAGAGAAAGAGAUAUCACUUUUGCAAUAUUUUUAUUAGUUUGAAUACUUAAGGAAUUCUCCCUAAAACGGAACCCCGCCAAAGCAAAUCUUAGCAUGAUGGCUGGGGUGUUGCUAAAACGCAGAACGGGAAAUGGAACGGAAGACGGAAAAUAUAUUAUGCAAUAAUGUUAUGAUGAGGUCAACAUUUUGCAAAAUCAAAAGGCUUACUAUGAACAAGGGAUGCAGAAAUUACAGAGAGAACAGGAAGUCAUCCUCAGAAUCCACCAUUUCAUAUUGAUACCUCAUACUAAUGCAUUAUAAUGUAUUUUUACACGGUGUAUUUUGUGGGUAAAUGUACCAACAGGCGCUUGCUUAAUAAUUUGCAUAGUAAGUUUUAAUAAAAAUAUCAAGCAAGCGCCUGUUGGCACCAUCUUUUUUUUCCGGCUUUGUCAUCCCUCCUCCCAGAUUUUGACAGUAUGUUGUUUCACAAAUGAAGAAAAAAUAAAUAAGAUAACAUACUGAAAAAGACUUGAAUUAUAAUUGAACCCCUUUCAAAUUCUAUUACUUUAUUCUGGCUGGUAUCGUAAGAAAAAAAAUUACGAGCCCAUCCAAUGAAUAAAAGGUACACCCCCC